RNAcentral lists this ribosomal RNA (223 nucleotides) under uncultured bacterium. RNAcentral's name for it is "partial 16S ribosomal RNA". It matches the Rfam family "Bacterial small subunit ribosomal RNA", at positions 524 to 746 of the family's 1533-position model. The record is from RNAcentral.
UACGUAAGUGGCGAGCGUUAUCCGGAAUCACUGGGCGUAAAGCGUGCGUAGGCGGCUUGGCAAGUUGGAUUUGAAAGCCCGGGGCUCAACUCCGGACCCGGAUCCAAAACUGCCAGGCUUGAGCGGAUCAGAGGACAGCGGAAUUCCCGGUGUAGCGGUAAUAUGCGUAGAUAUCAGGAGGAACACCGGUGGUGAAGACGGCUCUCUGGACCGUUACUGACGC